AUGUCGGCCGGUGCCACUAUAAACUGGAUCAGAACCCCAUUUCAAGCCCAGAGAUUUCAUGACUUCUCAAGUUUAAGUUUUAGAUGCCGAAACACUUUUGGAUCAAUUCAGCCUUGCUGGUUGGCAACUGAUCAGGAUUCAUCCCUCUCCAAAGUCCGUGUGGCUGCAGACUACUCAGAUUCAGUGCCAGAUUCCAAGUACAUGAGAGAUCGAGGAUACCAUCCUCUUGAAGAAAUCAAAGAACGCCCAAAGAAAAAAGACAUUUCACUGACGGAUGUAGAAACAGCUAGAACAGUAGUAGAGGCAAAUAGCAAGGGAUUGCUCGUAUUUCCUGCCAGGGUGCAUAAUGAACCUCAUGGACAUGUUUCUUGGUCAGAGUUUCAGUAUGUUGUUGAUGACUAUGGAGACAUUUUCUUUCAAGUACCUGAUGAUGGGAACAUCUUGGAAGAUGAUGAUGCAAACAACCCUGUGACAGUUUUGAUCGGAACGGAUGGUGCCAUUAUCGGUGAAACUAGUGCGGUAACUAGUGAUUUCAGCGACCACGUGGUCGUUGAGGAUUCUAUGGACAUGCAUGAUAACGACAGCAAGGUUGACACAGAAAUAACGGAUAUUCUUAUAGAGUGGGGAAUGCCAGUGACGAUGCGUUCAAUACAUCCUAUAUAUUUUGCCAAGUGUUUGACAAAGGCUGUUCAUGAUAAUCAUGGGGAGAAGAUUGAUAAUCCAUCAAACGGUGUAUCUAUUGUAGGAUACCUGAGACCUGCUUUUAUAGAAGAAGAGUCUUAUUUGAGGAGUUUAUUUGGUGCUGAAUGCAGUGCCGAUGGUUAUUCAUCUAAUUGGAGAGAGGAAUACAACAGAGAACCCCAGCCAGCUUCUGGAACCAAUGGCCUAAUUGAUGGUGAUAAAUCGAGAUUGGACAUCAACAAUACGGAAAGUAGCAUUGAUUCAACCAUCUACAAGCUGGAAAUGAUGUCAAUUGAGCUGUUUUCCGUCUAUGGUAAGCAGUUUAUGAUUGAUCCACAAGACUUUCAAGAUGCAGAACCAGAUCUUCUUUCAAAUCAUGCUUCAGACAUUAUAAAACGCGUCAAAGAAAACAGUGAUCAGUGUACCAUGGCUCUAAGGUCCCUCUGUAGCCGGAAAAAAGGCCUUACAGUAGAGGAUGCAAGUUUGAUAGGUGUCGAUAGUCUUGGUAUCGACGUCAGAGCCUUUUCUGGCUUGGCAGCUCGGACAGUUCGAUUUUCAUUCAAUGCCCAGGCGUUAUCUGAACGUUCAGCCGAAAAGAAGAUCAAGCGAAUGCUUUUUCCGCGUUAUCGCAAGACUGUGAAAGCUUCCACUGAAGAUGAAUGUUAG
Molecule: ribosomal RNA, 1347 nt
Filed under: Triticum aestivum (bread wheat)
Lineage: Eukaryota; Viridiplantae; Streptophyta; Magnoliopsida; Poales; Poaceae
Description: partial small subunit ribosomal RNA
Source: RNAcentral